RNAcentral lists this transfer RNA (72 nucleotides) under Pseudocohnilembus persalinus. It matches the Rfam family "tRNA". From Rfam's summary of the family: Transfer RNA (tRNA) molecules are approximately 80 nucleotides in length. Their secondary structure includes four short double-helical elements and three loops (D, anti-codon, and T loops). Further hydrogen bonds mediate the characteristic L-shaped molecular structure. tRNAs have two regions of fundamental functional importance: the anti-codon, which is responsible for specific mRNA codon recognition, and the 3' end, to which the tRNAs corresponding amino acid is attached (by aminoacyl-tRNA synthetases). tRNAs cope with the degeneracy of the genetic code in two manners: having more than one tRNA (with a specific anti-codon) for a particular amino acid; and 'wobble' base-pairing, i.e. permitting non-standard base-pairing at the 3rd anti-codon position. Lineage: Eukaryota; Ciliophora; Oligohymenophorea; Philasterida; Pseudocohnilembidae. The record is from Rfam by way of RNAcentral.
GGCAUCGUAGUCAAGUGGUUAAGAUUUUCGUUUCAGGUACGAAAGGCCCGAGUUCGAUCCUCGGCGGCGCCA